RNAcentral lists this long non-coding RNA (279 nucleotides) under Felis catus (domestic cat). RNAcentral's name for it is "lncRNA (ENSFCAG00000047824.1)". Lineage: Eukaryota; Metazoa; Chordata; Mammalia; Carnivora; Felidae. The record is from RNAcentral.
CAGAAGCUGUGCCCUCCCCCUUCCUGAGCCUUCAAGGGUGAAGCUAAAGUAAGCAGAGCCAACAGUGGCUGAGGGAAGAGCUUCUAGAAUCAGGAGUAGCACCUUCCUGGCCAUCUACAACCCAGAGUCAGGGUCACUGACUACUGAAGAAACUCUUAUGGCGGCUGGAUGUCAGCUUUGACAAUAACAGCCAAGACACAAAAGGAGUCAGAAACAGUCUUUCAUCUUUUACGCUGAAGAGACGAUGUAGGAGCUUUUUCCUCAUUGCUUUUCAAGAGA